CGACGCUCCUGGACUGGACUUUAUCCUUUCUUGACUUCACACACAGGCGAACAAAAUGGCGCUCGGCUGCCCAGGCAGCAAAUCUGACGAACAGACUCGUUAAAGGGAAAGUUCACCAGAAAAUGUCCAGGAGAAGCCAAGUUAUUGGCUGGGGCUCCAACUCCACUCUGAGAGGAGGUGAGGAUGAAGGAACGUCCAUACGUGGCAAAGCCCAUCAACAACUUCUCAGGAGGAGCUCCCUGGAAUCUCCAGAAUUUUAGCGCAGAAUCCUGUAUGCAAGAUGAAAAUAUACAAACUACCCAGCAGCAAAUUCAAGUUAUUCACUGUCUUGAAGUCUGUGCUCAUAAUAAGAGUCAGUCUGCUUACAGUGUUUGAGUUGAUAUCCUCCUCGUCUUGGAUGCCACUGUACAAAGGGCUGUGAUGUCUUGCAAUGCCAUCUUUAAAUGUAUGAAAAUCAAAUGUCUUGACACUAAUAAAGUCCAAGUACCUAAAAAAAAAUGUUUUUA
Molecule: long non-coding RNA, 506 nt
Organism: Cyprinus carpio (common carp)
Lineage: Eukaryota; Metazoa; Chordata; Actinopteri; Cypriniformes; Cyprinidae
Exons: 2
Source: RefSeq, a predicted model, not a curated record